RNAcentral lists this ribosomal RNA (248 nucleotides) under uncultured bacterium. Its description in RNAcentral is "partial 16S ribosomal RNA". It matches the Rfam family "Bacterial small subunit ribosomal RNA", at positions 85 to 334 of the family's 1533-position model. The record is from RNAcentral.
CCGAUGGCGACCGGCGCACGGGUGAGUAACACGUAUCCAACCUGCCGAUAACUCGGGGAUAGCCUUUCGAAAGAAAGAUUAAUACCCGAUGGUAUAAUCAGACCGCAUGGUCUUGUUAUUAAAGAAUUUCGGUUAUCGAUGGGGAUGCGUUCCAUUAGGCAGUUGGUGAGGUAACGGCUCACCAAACCUUCGAUGGAUAGGGGUUCUGAGAGGAAGGUCCCCCACAUUGGAACUGAGACACGGUCCAA